Molecule: long non-coding RNA, 1291 nt
Organism: Sapajus apella (tufted capuchin)
Lineage: Eukaryota; Metazoa; Chordata; Mammalia; Primates; Cebidae
Exons: 2
Source: RefSeq, a predicted model, not a curated record
CUACGGUCAUGUCCAUAACUUGGCAGCAGCCUCAGUUGGAGCCACUUUUCAUUUAAGAGAAAGAAAUCAUACAGGAUAUGAUAUCACAUGCUUAGAACCUUCCAUUAUGGUAGAUAAUUCUCCUCCCCGAGUAAACUGGUGUUUAUUCCAUUUGGCCAGGUAUCUGUUGAUCUUUCAUCAGGUCACUGGCCCAUUUUGUAGACAACAUGCACUUAAAUUGUUUCUUUUUUUCAGAAGUAGCUACUGUGUGGAAUCAGGAUGUCACCAAAAGCAUUUUUGACACUGGUAUCUCAUUCUUUCGUCCCAAGGUUAGAGAUAAGUUGAAAUGACUAUUUUUGGACAGAGCAGUUGUGCGUUAUGGCAUCGCCCCUGACUUGGGAGCUUAUCUCUUGGGUUUGCAUGCAGCUCUGGAACAUGUUAAGCUUUGAGAUAUCAAGCAAGUCAGUUGUUUUUUAAUUUACCAUUCUGAAGAUCCACAAUACACAGUUUAUUUUAAUACACCCGUUCAAUGCUCACUACAGACCUCGCCUAAACAGUGAUUGUUUACUAUCCACAAACUCCUUGAAUGGAGAAACCGAAGGGCUAACGAAUGUGCCCAUGCUUCUAAGCCCCUAAAGGAAGGAGGCAAGAUAUGAACCUAGGGAUAUAGCUCUAAAGCUGAAUUAAUAAUGAAUUGUUGAACUGCAGUUAUUACCCUGAGGAGGAUGGCUCUCAACCCUGCCAUCACGGGUAGCCAUAGGUUGGUUCCCUCACACAUGCUAGUCCUAGAUUUACAUGAGUCUACGGAGAUCCCAAACACUGUCUAUGAUUCCAAGAUGGCUGCAGCAGUCACGGGCUUAGGGCAGACAACAGUGAAUGUAAUUGCAGGGUACGGCACAGCCUUUGGUGUGAAUAAUACAGAGCUGCCCCAGAUGCCUCUGACAACAGGGCCAAAUGCAAGCUCUGAAUAUUAGGAAGAACUACUUAGAAAUAUUGAGAAACUCCUUUCAGUGCUGGGGACAUUCCUCAGCGGUUGGCCCCAAACAAAUAAGAUGGAGAUAUUUUUUGAGAUAGUUGAAAACUCUUAUCACGACAAGACCUAGAAAUGAUCAAAUCCUGCAAACUACAUUCAUUAGACACAAUGACAAGACAGCAAAAAAGCAUCGGGAUCCUCCCUAGGCAAUUACUACACAUGCAUGACAAAGGAAAGGUGGACUGAAGAAGGAACUCUCGUGUGAUUAACACCAGCUGUUUUAUAGAAUAUAAUUCCAAUAUUUCCCAUUCUUCCAUCAUCGACUGUAACAAAAGUUUA